UGGGGAAUAUUGCACAAUGGGCGCAAGCCUGAUGCAGCCAUGCCGCGUGUGUGAAGAAGGCCUUCGGGUUGUAAAGCACUUUCAGCGAGGAGGAAGGCGUUAAGGUUAAUAACCUUGGCGAUUGACGUUACUCGCAGAAGAAGCACCGGCUAACUCCGUGCCAGCAGCCGCGGUAAUACGGAGGGUGCAAGCGUUAAUCGGAAUUACUGGGCGUAAAGCGCACGCAGGCGGUUUGUUAAGUCAGAUGUGAAAUCCCCGAGCUUAACUUGGGAACUGCAUUUGAAACUGGCAAGCUAGAGUCUUGUAGAGGGGGGUAGAAUUCCAGGUGUAGCGGUGAAAUGCGUAGAGAUCUGGAGGAAUACCGGUGGCGAAGGCGGCCCCCUGGACAAAGACUGACGCUCAGGUGCGAAAGCGUGGGGCAGCAAACAGGAUUAGAUACCCUGGUAGUCCACGCUGUAAACGAUGUCGAUUUGGAGGUUGUGGGCUUGACCCGUGGCUUCCGGAGCUAACGCGUUAAAUCGACCGCCUGGGGAGUACGGCCGCAAGGUUAAAAC
Molecule: ribosomal RNA, 554 nt
Filed under: uncultured bacterium
Lineage: Bacteria
Description: partial 16S ribosomal RNA
Rfam family: Bacterial small subunit ribosomal RNA
Source: RNAcentral